This 492-nucleotide ribosomal RNA is filed under the name uncultured bacterium. RNAcentral describes it as "partial 16S ribosomal RNA". It matches the Rfam family "Bacterial small subunit ribosomal RNA", at positions 32 to 507 of the family's 1533-position model. The record is from RNAcentral.
AGGUAUCGCUGGCGGUAGUCCUAGCUCAUGCUACGCGAACGGCAGCACAGUAACAGCUUGCUCUUACGGGUGGCGAGUGGCGGACGGGUGAUGAAUACAUCCUAAUCUGCUUUUUCGUCAGUGGUGACGUAUGGAGACUUACACUAAUACCGCAUACGACCUACUGCUAUAAGCACGUGGUCUUCUAACCUUGCGCGAUUGAUUGAGCCGAUGUCGGAUUAGCUCGUUGGCGGGGUACAGGCCCACCCAGGCGACGAUCCGUAGCUGGUCUGAUAGGAUGACCAGCCACCCUCGAACUGAGACACGGUCCAGACUCCUACGGGAGGCAGCAGUCGGGAAUAUUGGACACUCGGGGAAAGCCUGACCGAGCCAUACCGCGUGGGUGAAGAAGGCCUUCGGGUUGUAAAGCCCUUUUGUCGGGCAAGAAAAGACGCAGGUUAAUACACCGCUGUUCUGACGGUAAAUAAAGAAUAAGCACGGGCUACCUUGGUG